UACGUAGGGGGCUAGCGUUGUCCGGAAUCAUUGGGCGUAAAGAGCGUGUAGGCGGACCUGCAAGUCGGGGGUGAAAGCCCCAGGCUCAACCUUGGAAUUGCCUUUGAUACUGACUGUCUUGAGUUCGGGAGAGGUGAGUGGAAUGCCGAGUGUAGAGGUGAAAUUCGAUAGAUAUUCGGCGGAACACCAGUGGCGAAGGCGACUCACUGGCCCGAUACUGACGCUGAGGCGCGAAAGCGAUGGGGAGCAACAGGG
This 255-nucleotide ribosomal RNA is filed under the name uncultured bacterium. Its description in RNAcentral is "partial 16S ribosomal RNA". It matches the Rfam family "Bacterial small subunit ribosomal RNA", at positions 524 to 776 of the family's 1533-position model. The record is from RNAcentral.